GUAUGAAGUCAUGUAACUUACUUAUAUAUAUAUAAUAUAAGUGACGAAUCACUGCAACAGUUGUUGAUAAGGAAUUUGAAGAGCAGUCGUCUGUGUGAAAUAAGUGAAAAUGAGUGGAAAUGAAAAAUAUCCGCAUUUCAUCGCCGCUAAUGUUUACCAGAAACCUACUAAUUUACUACCUAAACUCCCACCUGGAAAACCCGCGGAUGGAAGGAAAACUAUCAAAAUUCCACAAAAUCAAGAAAUGAAAAAGUGCUAAGAAAUUUUUAGUUGCAUUACUUGUCUUAUGAACCGUAUUCAAAAUGUGGAUUUCUAUUUUGUUGGACCCGAUAUUAUAUCAAAAUCAUUACAUAACAUGUUAUUUUAAUAGACAUAUUAUUUUUUUUUAGAUAUACUACUACUGGCAUUGUGUCCAGGGACUUUUUCUAUCUCUGAAAUUAAAAAAAAAUAAAGAUACAUCAUAUUUGUUACAAUAAAAUAGUUCACGAAUGGUGUGUUACGCGUCUCGCGAAACACGAAUAGAGAUACAGAUAUUAGUACAGCUGCAUAUAAAAGAUUAGCUCACAAACACUAUUAAAUAAAAACACAAAUGAUUGUAGUUAACAGAUAUGGAAAAACUAAAUUCGUUUUAAAGGGCUACUUUGAAUAUUAAACAAAAAUGUUUCAAGGAGGUUUAUAUUGGACGUUUUAGUAUUUUUUGAAAACGUAUAAAUUGUCCGAGAACGCUUGCCGAUUGUCAAAUAUUUCUGUUAUCUUUAAAAAUAUUAAUAGACGAAAAUGGUUGAUAAUACUUUGAAUUCGUAAUAUUUCGUAUCGAAAUCAAAAGCUGUAUUUGUUAGUAAUAAUAUUUUAUGAUAAAUGCGUUUUUAUUUCAAUAAAAUCCGUUAAAAUUAUUAAAUUUAAUAACAAAUUCCUUAAGUUUAAGCCAAAGCUGUCAAGCGUUGUCAAACAGGACAAGCUAACCGCAGAUAAUAAUUUAUAUUUAUAAUUUAUCAAACUAGUUUCCGUUUUGGUGGGCGACGCUCGCGUCUCUUACGUUUCGAAAAUGGAUUCAUUUAUUAAAUUUAUAAAAGGUGUUUUGCCUCCGGCGGAGCCACGAACUCCUUGUUCGUUCGGGGAAGCCAGGGUGUACCAAAAACCCACAAAUCAGUUACCUCCCUCACGAGACAGCACGCCUCCAGGAACACCUAAAGGAUCGCCGAAGCCCAAAAAGAAGACCAAUGAAAAAGAAGAAGAGAAAGAUAAAUAAAUAUUAUUAACACUUUACAA
Molecule: long non-coding RNA, 1269 nt
Organism: Pieris napi
Lineage: Eukaryota; Metazoa; Arthropoda; Insecta; Lepidoptera; Pieridae
Exons: 3
Source: RefSeq, a predicted model, not a curated record